CUUUUCGUGUGACUCUCUAGGUCCUUAAGCACUUUAGGGAGGAAAGCCUCUCUUUUGGGACAAAGAUCAUGGACCCACAACACGUGGAGCAGCGUCCUUCCAAGUCACCACCACCACCACCAUCACCACCACCACCGUCAUGCCUGCACAAGCAUCUGUGUACACUCAUUCUGUGCCCUGAACAACUCCUGACUCUGAUGCAGAGCAAAAACAAAGGGGGAAGCAGCCAACGGUUCCAUCCAGAAGCUGCAGGAAAUCUAUGCAAAACCACUCUGUUGUCAUUUGCCUGCAGAAGCCUGCCAGUCAAGCUCCCUACAGUAGGCUUUCUCCAUGGCGGCUUCUUCAGACCUCAGACUUGAUCUGGAAGGCUGUCCCUGUAGGUCUGCACACUCUGGAAGCCUUGAGAGAGACAGAUGUCUAGAGAAAGUAUACAAGCUGCUUUGCUCACUUCUGGGAUCUAAACUUGGGAAGCACUGAGCAGGCCUGAUUUGAGGGAGUCCAGACAGCAGGGAGUAGAGUCAUGAAGUACAACAGCUGGAUUGGCCGCACAUCUGUAAUCCUGGCACUCCUAGGUGUGAUGGGAGAGAGAGAGAGGAGGAUCAGCCAGCCUCACACAUGCACUACAGCAGCAGAAACAGCAAGAGAAACUGUGCCUCAGUACAGUGGAAAGAGAGAGCCAGCUCCUGAAAGCUGUCCUGUGAGCCCUGCAUGUAUACCAUGGUGCUUGUAUGCACACACAAACACACAUGUGUGAGUGCACAUAUAGUUUCCCAUGUAGGUGCAUUCAUACAUAAAUUUCAUAAGCACAUGUGUGCAUAUACAUGGAUAUACACAUACCCACAUGCAUGCACACACAUGCACGCAUUUGCAUAAGCACAUGUCCAUGUACAUACAGUUACCUAUGUAUGUGCAUGUGAACACACACUCAGAUGUGUAAAUGUAAUAACAGUAAGACCCUGUUUUGAAGAAACAAAAAUAAAACGAGAAGAGCCAAAGACCCAGGGAAAAUUAUUUUUAUGCUUAGGUAAAAGACUGAACAAAAGGACUCUGCUUUACUGACAAGGAUCUGGGACAUUUCUGAAUCUGGACUCCUUUUCUCUGAGCAUAGGACCAGCAGUCUGUCACAGGAGAAUCUUUAGAGGGAGGAGGGAGAGACGGGAGGUCAGAGUGGCUUCCUGCUUAUGCUGAAGGAUCACGUACAUCUCUUGCUAUCACCGUGUACGCCCUGGUCCUUCCUUCCUUGCUCAGCUCUCACUCACUGCUGACUGGAUAAAACCGAGAGUUCUGGGUUGGUCAGUCUCGAAUAGAGAUUGCCUUCCUGUGCAUGGAGACGCUAGGACUUGGAGUGUAAGUUGAGAUCACAGUAGCCGGUUGUGUUAUUGCUUCUGAGUUAAGGUAUCUAGGAAGCUUCCUCUCAAAAUGUUGAUAAUCAACAAAGAGAAAGCUACCACCACAGCAGGUAAGGUACCUGUGUUUGAGGCAAUUUCUUUUAAGUUUAGACUGACUUUGAACUUCCGACUCCCCUACCUCUGCUUUCGGAAUACUAGGGUUUCAGGCUAGUGCCACCAUGCUUCAAAUACAGUAAACCUUAUGUUUUGUUUGCUCUUUGUUUGGGGGUUUUUGUUUUAUGUUUUUGGCAAAUAAACCUCCAAGGGAAGAAGUUAAGAACCGAUCUAGAGCCAGGUGUGGUAGCAUUUUCCUUUAAUCCCAGCACUCAGGAGGCAGAGGCAGGAGGAUCUCUGUGAGUUGGAGGCUGGCCUGGUCUGUAAAGAGUGAAUUUCAGGACAUCAAAACAUGUCCCCAAAACAAACAAACAAAAAAGAACUAAAGUGGACAAGGGCGGCCUCAGCUAUAUAAAAGACUGUCUAUAGAAGACUCUGCCUAGCCUGAGCUACAUAAGAUGCUAUCUGUAAAGACUCUGCCUAGCCUGAGCUACAUAAGAUGCUAUCUGUAAAGACUCUGCCUAGCCUGAGCUACAUAAGAGGCUGUCUCUAAAGACUCUGCCUAGCCUGAGCUACAUAAGAGGCUGUCUCUAAAGACUCUGCCUAGCCUGAGCUACAUAAGAGGCUGUCUCUAAAGACUCUGUCUAGCCUGAGCUACAUAAGAGGUUGUCUCAGGGGGCUGGGGAUUUAGCUCAGUGGUAGAGCGCUUACCUAGGAAGCGCAAGGCCCUGGGUUCGGUCCCCAGCUCCGAAAAAAAGAACCAAAAAAAAAAAGAGGUUGUCUCAGUGGAAUUUAUGAAGGCUCAAUUUUGUAAAGAUUGAAGGGUAGAAGUAUAUUCACCCUCAAAUAUUCCACGUUGAUAGAAGAAUGAUUAUGAAUUAAAAGCAGAAAAAACAUUGGACGUAAGAAGGAUUCCGAUGCUGCAUUUCCUUCCUGAAGGGAAGAGCCAACACUCCCAUCAGAGGACCCUCUCCUGUGCUGGUCAAGCAUGCGCUCUAAGACACAAUCAAGGCUGAAAGAAACCUGUAUGAAACCCAGCCACAAAAAGUACCCCUCACCCAGAAUUGGCUCCCCCAGCCCACUACCCCUUGCCCUGGCACAGUUCCACAAUCUACAUAGAAUCUUUGCCCAACCUGUUCCCAGCUUUCCCAGUGCCCUCUGCCUUUUCCUUGCGGGGUGUGGGCUCCGAUGUCAUGCAAGCCAUCCUAAAUAUCGUUGUAUGCCCUGCUUCAGUUCAGGUAAUUUAAUUCUCAGGCUCGGCUGAAAUCCCUAUGGGAGUAGAAGUAACAAUUUUGUGUCCUCUGCAGAAGGAAGAAUUUCCUGUGGGCUAAUCUAUUAAUUGAGUGCAGCCCUAGCCAACUAGCAACAGGAUUAUCUUUGUUUUGAGCCUGGCAGAAAUGGUAACAAAGUGGAUUUGGAGGACUGGGCACGGUGUCACAAAUCUGCAACCUCAGUGUGGGAGGCGGACUCCAGCCUGGGCUGUGCUGUGAAGACCAAGCAAAUACAACUGGCAGAGGAUUGCCUCUGAAAUAUACACAGAGAGGAAGAGAAGAAAACUUACAAGUCAAACCAAUAAGAAGCUUCUUGGUUUUACCAGACACUGAGUACGUGAAACAAAUGACUUUUUGUCUCACCUGGGAGCGGAGACCCUGUUGGACCUAAGGUGGGCUUCUAAUCUUUUCCUGGCUCUGGGCUGACAACCCUGGUCAUGGAUUACAGGGGAUUAGGAGAGAAAAACAACAAAACGUGUGUGCCCAUCCAGUGGGGUCUGCUGUGUCAGCACCAGGGAUGGAGACAGAGCAGUCUCUGCAGACCCGUCCUUAUUUUAAUUCUGCAGCAGGAAGUGAAACGCAGGCUCUCGCAGCUCCGAGGGGGCAGGGUUGGAGCUCAGAGCCUAGCUGGCUCUUAACGGGUUCUUAGGCUAGCCCAGGUUGACUUCCUAGGAGUGGGAGAGCUGGGGGCUUGCGGUGGGGGCUUGCAGUGGCCUUCCACCACCCCGCCCCCAGCAGCCCUCCUCCACCUUGCCCGCUGCUGUGCACCACUGAUUUAGUGAAGACAUCCACACCCCCUUCCCGGAGCUGCUGGCUGCUCUGCUCUGACAAUUACUCUGGCUGCUGCAGAGAAGGGCCCAUACCCGCCGACAUACGGCUUUUUAAAGUGAUAAAUUGCAUUAGCAAAUUUCUUAUUACUCUGCUGUCAGGAGGGAGCUCCUGCCACAUUAGCUGACGCAGAGGCUGAUGUAGAGCUUCCUGGCCAUUAAUUACCAUGCCAAGGACUAAAGGGACACAGGGGCUCUUCGUGAAUGGGUGGAGGUCCCUAUUCCCUACCCUGUCCCCCUCCCCCCACUUAGUGAGAGAAAGAUCUAGAAAGACCUGGCUUGGUGACCCUUGAGUUAUCUUAGGUCUGGUUCUGCAUUGGCUACGUAUCUUGGGCUCCUGGUAUCUGUGGGUGGGGCACAGGAUGCCCAGAGACCUUCCAGGCUGCUUGGAGCUGGCUGUCCCUAGGGCCACUAAGAUCUGGCAGCCCAGAAUCUGCACUGCACCUCAUUUGAAGCUUUGUUUUCAAAGCAGAGGCUGGACUGCAGCCCAGAAAGGUGUUCUGGCCUCUCCUUGAGGUUUGAGGCCAGCAGUUCUUCUCCUUUGUCCUCACUCCCUGCUCCAGACAGCUGAAAAGUCUCCUCCCUGAAGGUGACAUCAUGUCUUCUGCUUCAGUCCCCUCUUGGUGGCUAUCCAGGGAACUGCAUAUUCUGGAUGCUCAACCCGGAUUUCCACCAACUCAGGCUUCCCACUCACACGAGAAUUACAUAAAGCUCAAACAUACUGAGGAGCAACAGUAAGAGGAAACACAGCCCAGCUUCUCAGUGUGUUUACUCUCCCAGAUUGAUAAACAGUGCUAGGGGCUCUGACAGAAGAAGCUGCUUCAGGAGAGGUGCACAGAAGAAGCAGCUUCAGGAGAGAUGCACGGCUGGUCCAAGGGGAGUGGGCCCCUCACGCCCCGGCCAUACAAGGCAGCAGCUCUGCUCUGAUCUAAGAUUGUCUGGGUAGAGGACACCAGACAUAAUCGAAUUGUUUCUCUGGUUACAUGGAAAGGCAGAGAAUAGGUCUGGAGCUGCAAGAACUUUGUGGGUCAGGUCUGUCAGCUUCUCAUUCUGAGGAACUGUGCCCGGAGGCUCCUGCAGUCAUAUUUCUGUGUUCCCACAUUCUCCGGCUCAAAGGGAGGUGGGGGAGGAGAAGGAGGCAGAGGCAGAGGGCUCUGCAGUGGGUAGAAGGAAGGUGUGUGUGGAGAAGAGGGUUCGAGGCAAGCUCUGAGUUCUUCACCAUACAGCUGGAGGCUGCCUAGAUGAAAUCUCUGAAAGAUCUGAUUUGCACAAAUGUAGCCUCAGAUCCUGUAUCAUCUUGAACCUGAAAUUGAAGUAAUUUCUGCUCUGUGAAAUCAGAGAAGUGUUCCUCUUUCUUGUCACUUCUCUGAAGUCUAACCUCCAUGAUAUGCCCAAAGGAUAGACCCAUGAACAAGUCCCUCAAGGUUUCAUGGCUGCCAAUUUAUUCUUCCGGUACCCAGGCUGUCCCCAUGAUUUCUAUCCUGGGUUCUUUUGAGAAUUAGGAGACACAGAUCACCAAUCUGUGUAUGCUGGCAUCAAUCAGUCCCUCUUGGGGCUUGAGGGGUGUGUCUAGACUUUUGUCCAGGGUUCAAAGACAGGUUUUCAAGCAUGCUUCUGGUCUGGUCCCACCUGACCCUCCCCCACCCUCUUGGUGGGUGCAAGCCUGGGGCUUGGCUCAUCUUGGUUAGUGUCCCAGGAUCCUUCUGGGGCAGGUACUACACAUCCCAUCUCCUUGUCUUCCCCUUUAAGGAUGUUGGCCAGGGUCCAGCAUCUCAGCCUCAGUCCUAAUGCUUGGCUCACUUUAGGGUAAGCCGUUUCCUGGGGCUCGUAUCCUAAACCUCCACAACUCUCUCUGCUUGUUUCCCUCCCUCUGCCCAUCACUGAAGGACACACACAUACACACACAAAUACACAGACGCAUACACAGACACGUAUAUACACAUAGACACACAUGAAUACACACACACACAUAUAUACACAUACACAUACACACACAGACACAUAUAUACACAUACACACACAGACACAUACAUAGACACACACAUGCAGACACACAUGCAGACACACACAGACACACACAGAUACACACAGACACACACAGAUACACACAGACAUCACAUACAUAGAUACACACAGACACACAUACACAGACAUACACAGAGAGACAUACAUACACACACAGACAACCACACAGAUACACACACACACAGACACACAGAGAGAUACAUAGAUAAACACACACAGACACACAGACACACACAUAUAUAAACACACACAGACACACACACUCACAGAGACACACACAGAUAGACACACACAGACACACACAGAGAUACAUAGAUAAACACACACAGACACAGACACACACAGACACAUAAUACACAGACAUACACCCAGAGACAGACAGACAGACGCACGCACACACACACAGAGACAGACACACACGCAUACACAUGCACACACACACACACACACAGAGAGAGAGAGAGAGAGAGAGAGAGAGAGAGUCUGAAAAGUAUGGGGUUGCUUGCCUAUCUCACUACUCUGGAGACUGAAGGAGAAUUUGGGGCCAGUCUGGACUACAUAAUAAGUCCCUCUCUUUGACCAUUUGUCCCUCCAAACUAAACUAAACUAAACUAAACUAAACUAAACUAAACUAAACUAAACUAAAACUAAAGCAACCUCAAAGAACCUUAACUCCAAGCUGGAGAGGAGCGGACAGGGGCUGGCUCGUGACCCUGAGGACCUAUCAGUCUCUGGAUGCAGGACCAGGAUUCAUUGUUCUCCCCAUGAUGGAGCACCAGGAGUACCUGCCUCUGGGUCAGCUCCUGCUGUGGUCCCAGCCUGUCCCCUUCACUGACUGUCGGAACCAGCCUGGGCUCGGUCUGCAGUAAGGGCCUUUGUCCUGUAAGAUGAUACAACACUCAGGUCACAGAUGGUGAUGGCAGGAAACAAGGCAAGGACUUAACCUCCCUCCAGGAAAGGCUUGAAAUGGGGAAGUUGAAUGUACUCCAGCUCUCUGCAUGGGGCCUUUGUGCCCCUACCAGCCACAGCUCCAUAGAGAAGAACUCAGAGAAGUGAUCAUGAAAACCCAUGCCCGUCCAAGAUUUGGUUCCCAGGGCCUGUGCUGUCUGCUGCAGGGCUGCCUGUGCUGUACCCUGCAGGGCCUGUCUGCUGCAGGGCCUGCCUGCACUGUACCCUGCAGGACCUGUGCUGUCUGCUGCAUUAUCAGGGUUCUCCUGGCAGACCUGCCUCUUCUCCCACCAUGGCCAAACUUCUUUUGACAUGCUCAGAAACACAUAUCUGCUUGCUAAAGCUUGUGCGCGCGCACAUGCGUGCGUGCGUGCGUGUGUGUGUGUGUGUGUGUGUGUGUGUGUGUGUGUGUGUGUGUUCUUUGAUGACAAAGGAAGAACUUAACACAGAAAGACAUAGGCACGUCUGCUUCUGUCCAGAAAGGACCUUGCCCUGCUGUCUCCAGGGUGGGCAUGCGCUCUGUGAAAAUGGCAGGCUGAAGAACCACCUCUCAGGAUAACAAGGCCUCUGUUGGACACCAAGUUCACUCAGGGCUUCUUUCAGCCUAAGAACAGCACUGGUCUCUGUCAUCAGGCUUUUCCCACUCUUCCACAGCCCAUCUGGUCACUGGGACUCUCAGACCGCUGCCCUCCCAGGCCUCACAUCCUCCAGUGAGAGGAAGGACAGACUUCUCUUCUGUCUCACGUCAAGUGCAAAGGCAUCUUAGUGGUGUCAUCCAUUCCGUGACUUCCUGAAGCAGACUGAAGUUGUGCAGCCCUAAUCCCAAGGCCAGUUCCAGGGCUGUCCUUCAUUGUUCUGAACCCAUGAAGGCCAAGAAGAGACUGGAAAUAGGGGGAGUGGGGUCAUUUCCUCGGGAGUUCAUGGAGAAGCAGGCUCAGCAGGAGGCACAGAAAGAGCUGGGAAUUGGCUGAGGGACAUCUCAGUGGCAAGAAACUCCUUUGAUGUGGAAGAAAGGCUUUGGGGCAGGGUUGGGGGAUUGUGAGCUGCAGGCUAGAGAAUGAGACUCACCCUGAGCCUGUAGGUAUUGAUACCUGAGCUAUACACCUCCACCUCCACCUCUACCUCCUCCACCUCCUCCUCCACCACCAUCACCUCCACCUCCUCCUCUACCAUCACCUCCACCUCCUCCACCUCCUCCUCCACCACCUCCACCUUCUCCUCCACCUCCACCUCCUCCACCUCCUUCACCUCCUCCACCUCCACCACCUCCACCUCCUCCUCCACCUCCUCCAUCUCCACCUUUUCCACCUCCACCUCCACCUCCUCCACCACCACCUCCACCACCACCUCCACCGACAGCAACGACAACAACCAUCCUGUGCUGUAUUACUGUCACAGCAUCUGUUCUCAUUGGCACUGAUCUCUGUCACUUCUGUACUGGUUACUAGAGUCUUGCUCAUCUCCUCCACUACCCUCUCCCCAGUGCUCCAGGCCAGUAACUUCUGUCCCAUUCCUUGCUGUCUCCUCAAGGCGCAUGAUGGUGCCUGGCUCACAGUGGAGAUGUGCCCUCGGUGGUUAAGCUGAUGCACUGUGACUAGGUCACACAGAAGUCGGGACAGAGAGGCCAGUGAGGGAGAAAGACGGAGAUCAUUGGAUGCCGCCCUUUUCACUGCUGUUUGGAGGCUUUCCCAGGCUAAGUGGCUAAGCAUCCUUCACGACCUGAGUUCUGCACAUAGAACGAAUCCUUUUGCAGCCAUUCCCACCUGGAAUGCCUGUGUCUAUGGAAUUGGAAGCUGCCAUCUUCUUGGAGUCCCAUCUGUUGGGAGGUAGAAUAAGCUCACAGAUCCUGCCAGAAGCUGGCCCUCAUUUGGUGUCUGGCAGCAGCUUGCUUUCCUCUUGGUCUGGGGCUUCCUCAGCGUGGGGUAUCUCCUCCGCAAAGCUCAGGCCCAGGUGGCUGCCUUAACCAGUGCUCUCCACUGUGCUCUGAGGGUUCCACAGAAGGAGACUCAUUAGUAAGUCUGUUUCCCCUAGCCAUCUCCCGGGGCAGUGGCGCCCAUGGUCCCUUUGUUCUUAACUUAGGGUUGCCACGCAAUGGGUCUGAACAUUGUGUCUGCACUUUGGUACCCUGCGGCGUUGGGAGCUGGCUGGGUGGGGCUGGGGGUAGGACUCACUCAUCUUCUCAGACACAGAGCACAAACACAGGUGACCUCCCUGGGAAGAGAAGGCAUCUCCUGUCCACAGCCAAGAAGCAAGGAGGGAGACAGACUCUCUCCUGUGGCCUGAUCAGCUGUCUGGUAUGCUGCCCGUGAAACCAGAAUCCCCAUCCCGAGUGAGCAAGCCCUCCACUCCACACCCCCAAUCCAAUUUUCCAUUAAUGAAAUAUUCAGAGGUUCUGCAGCCUCCUCAGCCCUGUCCUGAAGGGAGGGAUCCCUUCCAAUCACCCCAGCUGGAAGCAUCCCUCAGUCUCCCGUCAGGUCCUUGUCCUCCCACCUGGGCGAUUUUAAUAGCACAACGUGUCCCUCAUCCUCCACAUCAAGAAUAUCACCCCCUUCCUCCCCACUAGAUAUCCCCGACCCCUGGGCCCCAGUGCUUACAGCCGCAGCAAGGAAGAAUCAUUUCUCAGCAGUGACCAGCCUGUCACAGGGGAUGGAGACCUUCGACCUGAGGCAAUGGCUAGUUUGCUGAUGUUGGUUUCCCUCGUGACAGCUACAGUCCUGAGUGGGAAGUAGGAAUGGAAAUCUCCAAUGACCAAGCCAUGGGGUGGAGGUGGCUGGUGGCUCCGUAAUCCCAGCAUGCAGGAGGCUAAAGCUAGAGGCUCUCCAGUUCCAGGAAAAAUACACAAAGCCAAAGAUUCUACACGAUUGAUUGGUUAUUGAUUAAGCUUGGUUAUUGAGUUGAAAUGCUGCAUAUUUGAAGCCAUGUUAUUUUGGCUAUCGUUAGUCUCCUUGGUAGUCAUUUAUCAGUCAUCUGUGGCCGACAUAGAAGAUCCCCUCCACUGUCGGAUAAAAGCCUCAGAAUAUAUUGAUGUAACGACCACCGGCUUCUACCCACACCAAGGCAAAGAGUCAGCUCAUGUCUAGAACCUGCAGCAGAAGCCCCCUGCUUUGCCAUAGCACGCCUACCUGAGGUUGUCACCAAUCUUUAGGAAAUGCGCUGAUUUAAAACUUUCUUUUAUUCGGUGACUUUAAAAGUACAUGUAACUGCUUCCAUAUUCGUGCUAUUCAGAAUAAUCUGGAUCCCAGGAUCCUGGGCCAUGUGAUGAACCAGCCAGCCUGCCCCCAUCUUGGGCUUAUAACCAUCUUACGGCAAAGACAAACUAUGCCUACCUAUGAUUACAUUUAUGCCUACCUAUGAUUACAUUUGUUUCUCAAGGAUUGGGCUCUGCCCCCACCUGUAACCUUACCUACAAAUGGUUCUGCACGGUCUGUUCAAGAAGCAGUAAAUAUGCCUUUGUUUCAAAAGGUUGUAAUGA
Long non-coding RNA from Rattus norvegicus (Norway rat), 9985 nucleotides. RefSeq lists it as uncharacterized. The record is from RefSeq and is a predicted model, not a curated record. NCBI's taxonomy places the organism in Eukaryota, Metazoa, Chordata, Mammalia, Rodentia, Muridae.